AAACUUUCAACAACGGAUCUCUUGGCUCUCGCAUCGAUGAAGA
This 43-nucleotide ribosomal RNA is filed under the name Tuber californicum. RNAcentral describes it as "partial 5.8S ribosomal RNA". It matches the Rfam family "5.8S ribosomal RNA", at positions 1 to 42 of the family's 154-position model. From Rfam's summary of the family: 5.8S ribosomal RNA (5.8S rRNA) is a component of the large subunit of the eukaryotic ribosome. It is transcribed by RNA polymerase I as part of the 45S precursor that also contains 18S and 28S rRNA. The record is from RNAcentral. Lineage: Eukaryota; Fungi; Ascomycota; Pezizomycetes; Pezizales; Tuberaceae.